Molecule: ribosomal RNA, 497 nt
Filed under: uncultured bacterium
Lineage: Bacteria
Description: partial 16S ribosomal RNA
Rfam family: Bacterial small subunit ribosomal RNA
Source: RNAcentral
GAUGACCGCUGGCGGCGUGCCUAAUACAUGCAAGUCGAGCGAACGGACGAGAAGCUUGCUUCUCUGAUGUUAGCGGCGGACGGGUGAGUAACACGUGGAUAACCUACCUAUAAGACUGGGAUAACUUCGGGAAACCGGAGCUAAUACCGGAUAAUAUUUUGAACCGCAUGGUUCAAAAGUGAAAGACGGUCUUGCUGUCACUUAUAGAUGGAUCCGCGCUGCAUUAGCUAGUUGGUAAGGUAACGGCUUACCAAGGCAACGAUGCAUAGCCGACCUGAGAGGGUGAUCGGCCACACUGGAACUGAGACACGGUCCAGACUCCUACGGGAGGCAGCAGUAGGGAAUCUUCCGCAAUGGGCGAAAGCCUGACGGAGCAACGCCGCGUGAGUGAUGAAGGUCUUCGGAUCGUAAAACUCUGUUAUUAGGGAAGAACAUAUGUGUAAGUAACUGUGCACAUCUUGACGGUACCUAAUCAGAAGGCCACGGCUAACUACGUG